Molecule: ribosomal RNA, 487 nt
Filed under: Escherichia sp. FHM106
Lineage: Bacteria; Pseudomonadati; Pseudomonadota; Gammaproteobacteria; Enterobacterales; Enterobacteriaceae
Description: bacterial SSU rRNA
Rfam family: Bacterial small subunit ribosomal RNA
Source: RNAcentral
CCGCCUGGGGAGUACGGCCGCAAGGUUAAAACUCAAAUGAAUUGACGGGGGCCCGCACAAGCGGUGGAGCAUGUGGUUUAAUUCGAUGCAACGCGAAGAACCUUACCUGGUCUUGACAUCCACGGAAGUUUUCAGAGAUGAGUAUGUGCCUUCGGGAACCGUGAGACAGGUGCUGCAUGGCUGUCGUCAGCUCGUGUUGUGAAAUGUUGGGUUAAGUCCCGCAACGAGCGCAACCCUUAUCCUUUGUUGCCAGCGGUCCGGCCGGGAACUCAAAGGAGACUGCCAGUGAUAAACUGGAGGAAGGUGGGGAUGACGUCAAGUCAUCAUGGCCCUUACGACCAGGGCUACACACGUGCUACAAUGGCGCAUACAAAGAGAAGCGACCUCGCGAGAGCAAGCGGACCUCAUAAAGUGCGUCGUAGUCCGGAUUGGAGUCUGCAACUCGACUCCAUGAAGUCGGAAUCGCUAGUAAUCGUGGAUCAGAAUG